GAAAUGCGAUAAUUAAUGUGAAUUGCAGAAUUCAGUGAAUCAUCGAGUCUUUGAACGCACAUUGCGCCCCCUGGUAUUCCGGGGGGCAUGCCUGUCCGAGCGUCAUUGCUGCCCUCAAGCACGGCUUGUGUGUUGGGCUUCCGUCCCUGGCAACGGGGACGGGCCCAAAAGGCAGGGGCGGCACCAUGUCUGGUCCUCGAGCGUAUGGGGCUUUGUCACCCGCUCCCGUAGGUCCAGCUGGCAGCUAGCCUCGCAACCAAUCUUUUUAACCAGGUUGACCUCGGAUCAGGUAGGGAUACCCGCUGAACUUAAGC
Molecule: unclassified non-coding RNA, 314 nt
Filed under: plant metagenome
Description: partial contains 5.8S ribosomal RNA, internal transcribed spacer 2, and large subunit ribosomal RNA
Rfam family: 5.8S ribosomal RNA (bases 1-105)
Source: RNAcentral